Molecule: long non-coding RNA, 1372 nt
Organism: Lutra lutra (Eurasian river otter)
Lineage: Eukaryota; Metazoa; Chordata; Mammalia; Carnivora; Mustelidae
Exons: 3
Source: RefSeq, a predicted model, not a curated record
ACCAGCAGUACAAAACUAUGGAGCUAAUUCUCCAUUUACAACAGGAGUCAUUCAAGGCAUCACAGAAGGCAAUCGACUUAUUCCUACUGAUUGGUCAUUGUUAGCAAGAACAGUUGUAUCUCCAAGUGAGUUCUUACAAUUUAAAACAUGGUGGCAAGAUCAUGCAGAAACAGCAGCUGCCCAUAAUAGAGCUCAUAACAUUCCUAUUUCCAUGGAACAGCUCAUGGGUCUUGGGCCAUGGGCCCAGGUGCAAGACCAGGUACUAAUGAACGAUCAAGCUAUUGAGCAGCUCCGGCGUUGCUGUUCGAGAGCCUGGGAGAGAAUAGAAUCUCAGGGAGAUAAGUGCUCUUCUUUUCAAAAAGUGGUACAAGGUCCAAAAGAACCCUAUACUGAUUUUAUUGCAAGAUUACAAGAGGCUGUCAAAAGACAGAUUAAUCUUGAGGCUGCGGAUACCAUUAUGUAGCUGUUGGCUUAUGAGAAUGCUAAUGCUGAUUGUAAGAAAUUGAUAGCACCCUUCAAAGGCAAGGGAACAUUGAGAGAUUAUAUUAAGCUAUAUAUAUAUGAGCCUCCUUAAAAAGGAGUAGGAACAGAGACCUAUAAAGCUGAUUUGUUAGCUCAAGCAAUGGCUGCCCUUAACACAAGAGAAAUUACUUAUUUUGCAAGCCUUAGUGGAGGAACAGAUAGAAAAAGGACAUACUGAAGAAUCUCAUAGUCCUUGGAAUUCACCAGUUUUUGUUAUUAAGAAGAAAUCAAUUAAUGGCGGUUAUUGCAUUGUUGAAGACGUUCCUUCUGCAUUUAAUCUGCUAUCUGAUUCUUUAUAUACAGAUAUGUUUCACAGCAUAUCAAAACUACUACUGUUUCUACAUCUGAUGUAAUAUGAUCAACCUCAUCACUGUGGCUUCCUCAGAAGCACGCGAAAAUCCCUCCAACGACUGAAGAAUCAAACUGCAGAAUCAACUUUUCUACUUCUUCACAAGGGGGAGAUGGAAUUGCCCCUCGGAACAAUGUGUUACUUAAACUAGAACCCCUGGAGGAUUUUACUAGUUACCAAGCACAUUUAGAUAGGGCCUUAAGAAAAACAUAUACUGGCAACAGGUCUUUGGGGAGAAGGAUGAUAUACGACCGGGAAGCCAAGCACCCGGGAACGCCCGGUCAGCUCAGGGCAGAAGGAAAUACCGCCUGCUUCCCUUUUCCAUUAUCGCUCCUUUCUCUUCGCAGAAGCACCCGUUGUUAGAUGAGUCCUUUGUGCUUGGUUAACUAUAAAUUUUACCCUCCUUCUUGUUUGUCCACAAGACAUGUGACUAAUGUUUGACCUUCAUCGUUUCUUCUGUUGGCUUUUGUUUCUAUCUAAUAAAAGUGAGACUGUGGAGUU